AGCGAACGCUGGCGGCGCGUCUUAAGCAUGCAAGUCGAACGGCAAGAGAGGAGCUUGCUUCUCUCCUAGAGUGGCGGACUGGUGAGGAACACGUGGGUAAUCUACCCUUAAGAUGGGGAUAGCUGCUAGAAAUAGCAGGUAAUACCGAAUACACUCGGCAUAUCACAAGAGGUGUUGAGGAAAGGAAGCUACGGCUUCGCUUGAGGAUGAGCUUGCGUCCCAUUAGCUAGUUGGUGAGGUAAAGGCCCACCAAGGCGACGAUGGGUAUCCGGCCUGAGAGGGUGAACGGACACAUUGGGACUGAGAUACGGCCCAAACUCCUACGGGAGGCAGCAGCUAAGAAUAUUCCGCAAUGGACGGAAGUCUGACGGAGCGACGCCGCGUGGAUGAAGAAGGCUGAAAAGUUGUAAAAUCCUUUUGUUGAUGAAGAAUAAGGGUGAGAGGGAAUGCUCAUCUGAUGACGGUAAUCGACGAAUAAGCCCCGGCUAAUUACGUG
Molecule: ribosomal RNA, 496 nt
Filed under: uncultured bacterium
Lineage: Bacteria
Description: partial 16S ribosomal RNA
Rfam family: Bacterial small subunit ribosomal RNA
Source: RNAcentral